ACAGCAGUCGCCACGGGAAUACGGAGGGUGCAAGCGUUAUCCGGAUUUAUUGGGUUUAAAGGGUCCGUAGGCGGACUUAUAAGUCAGUGGUGAAAGCCUGUCGCUUAACGAUAGAACUGCCAUUGAUACUGUAAGUCUUGAGUAUAUUUGAGGUAGCUGGAAUAAGUAGUGUAGCGGUGAAAUGCAUAGAUAUUACUUAGAACACCAAUUGCGAAGGCAGGUUACCAAGAUAUAACUGACGCUGAGGGACGAAAGCGUGGGUAGCGAACAGGAUUAGAUACCCGAGUAGUCCCUGUCUCUUAUAC
RNAcentral lists this ribosomal RNA (305 nucleotides) under uncultured bacterium. RNAcentral describes it as "partial 16S ribosomal RNA". It matches the Rfam family "Bacterial small subunit ribosomal RNA", at positions 505 to 807 of the family's 1533-position model. The record is from RNAcentral.